UGGGCCCGCGUCUCAUUAGCUAGUUGGUGGGGUAAUGGCCUACCAAGGCGACGAUGGUUAGCUGGUCUGAGAGGAUGAUCAGCCACACUGGAACUGGAACACGGUCCAGACUCCUACGGGAGGCAGCAGUGAGGAAUUUUGCGCAAUGGGGGAAACCCUGACGCAGCAACGCCGCGUGAGCGAAGAAGGCCUUCGGGUCGUAAAGCUCUGUCAAGUGGGAAAAAAAUCUUUUGAUCAAUAGUCAAAAGACUUGAUGGUACCACUGGAGGAAGCACCGGCUAACUCCGUGCCAGCAGCCGCGGUAAUACGGAGGGUGCAAGCGUUAUCCGGAAUUACUGGGUGUAAAGGGUGCGUAGGCGGUUUGCUAAGUCAGAUGUGAAAGCCCGGGGCUCAACUCCGGGACUGCAUUUGAAACUGGCAAACUAGAAUACAGGAGAGGUAAGUGGAAUUCCUAGUGUAGCGGUGAAAUGCGUAGAUAUUAGGAGGAACACCAGUGGCGAAGGCGACUUACUGGACUGUUAUUGACGCUGAGGCACGAAAGCGUGGGGAGCGAACGGGAUUAGAUACCCUGGUAGUCCACGCCGUAAACGAUGGACGCUAGGUG
Molecule: ribosomal RNA, 604 nt
Filed under: uncultured sulfate-reducing bacterium
Lineage: Bacteria
Description: bacterial SSU rRNA
Rfam family: Bacterial small subunit ribosomal RNA
Source: RNAcentral